This 437-nucleotide ribosomal RNA is filed under the name uncultured bacterium. RNAcentral describes it as "bacterial SSU rRNA". It matches the Rfam family "Bacterial small subunit ribosomal RNA", at positions 329 to 762 of the family's 1533-position model. The record is from RNAcentral.
GCCCUUACUCCUACGGGAGGCAGCAGUAGGGAAUAUUGGUCAAUGGGCGAGAGCCUGAACCAGCCAUGCCGCGUGCAGGAAGACGGCCUUCUGGGUUGUAAACUGCUUUUAUACGGGAAGAAAAUGCCCUUGCGAGGGAAAUUGCCGGUACCGUAUGAAUAAGCACCGGCUAACUCCGUGCCAGCAGCCGCGGUAAUACGGAGGGUGCAAGCGUUGUCCGGAUUUAUUGGGUUUAAAGGGUGCGUAGGCGGGUCUUUAAGGUCAGUGGUGAAAGCCUGCAGCUCAACUGUAGAACUGCCAUUGAUACUGGAGGCCUUGAGUGUACUAGAGGUAGGCGGAAUUUAUGGUGUAGCGGUGAAAUGCAUAGAUACCAUAAAGAACACCGAUAGCGUAGGCAGCUUACUGGAGUACAACUGACCGCUGAGGCACGAAAGCAU